GAUGAAGAACGCAGUGAAAUGCGAUAAGUAAUGUGAAUUGCAGAAUUCAGUGAAUCAUCGAAUCUUUGAACGCACAUUGCGCCCGCCAGCAUUCUGGCGGGCAUGCCUGUUCGAGCGUCAUUUCAACCCUCGCAGCCCAUCUGGGCAGCGGUGUUGGGGACCGGCACCACCGGCGAAGCCCUUAGGGGCCCAGCCGGCGCCGCCCCCGAAAUACAGUGGCGGUCUCGCUGCAGCCUCCCUUGCGUAGUAGCACACCUCGCACCGGAGCGCAGCGCGGCCACGCCGUAAAACCCCCGACUUUCUGAGUUUGACCUCGAAUCAGGUAGGAAUACCCGCUGAACUUAAGCAUAUCAAUAGCGGAGGA
Molecule: unclassified non-coding RNA, 364 nt
Filed under: soil metagenome
Description: partial contains 5.8S ribosomal RNA, internal transcribed spacer 2, and large subunit ribosomal RNA
Rfam family: 5.8S ribosomal RNA (bases 1-120)
Source: RNAcentral